CCUACGGGGGGCAGCAGUGGGGAAUAUUGGACAAUGGGGGCAACCCUGAUCCAGCCAUGCCGCGUGUGUGAAGAAGGCCCUCGGGUUGUAAAGCACUUUCAGUGAGGAAGAACGCCUGGUGGUUAAUACCCAUCAGGAAAGACAUCACUCACAGAAGACGCACCGGCUAACUCCGUGCCAGCAGCCGCGGUAAUACGGAGGGUGCGAGCGUUAAUCGGAAUUACUGGGCGUAAAGCGCGCGUAGGUGGCUUGAUAAGCCGGUUGUGAAAGCCCCGGGCUCAACCUGGGAACGGCAUCCGGAACUGUCAAGCUAGAGUGCAGGAGAGGAAGGUAGAAUUCCCGUUGUAGCGGUGAAAUGCGUAGAGAUCGGGAGGAAUACCAGUGGCGAAGGCGGCCUUCUGGACUGACACUGACACUGAGGUGCGAAAGCGUGGGUAGCAAACAGGAUUAGAUACCCUAGUAGUC
This 465-nucleotide ribosomal RNA is filed under the name Vreelandella stevensii. Its description in RNAcentral is "partial 16S ribosomal RNA". It matches the Rfam family "Bacterial small subunit ribosomal RNA", at positions 338 to 795 of the family's 1533-position model. The record is from RNAcentral. Lineage: Bacteria; Pseudomonadati; Pseudomonadota; Gammaproteobacteria; Oceanospirillales; Halomonadaceae.